Molecule: ribosomal RNA, 292 nt
Filed under: uncultured bacterium
Lineage: Bacteria
Description: partial 16S ribosomal RNA
Rfam family: Bacterial small subunit ribosomal RNA
Source: RNAcentral
GGAUUAGAUACCCUGGUAGUCCACGCCGUAAACGAUGGAUACUAGCUGUCAGGUGUUCAGCACUUGGUGGUGUAGCUAACGCGUUAAGUAUCCCGCCUGGGGAGUACGGCCGCAAGGUUAAAACUCAAAGGAAUUGACGGGGACCCGCACAAGCGGUGGAGCAUGUUGUUUAAUUCGAUGCAACGCGAAGAACCUUACCUAGGCUUGAUCCUAUUCGUAUCUUUGGUAAUUCAAAGAGUCAGUUCGGCUGGAAUAGUGACAGGUGCUGCACGGCUGUCGUCAGCUCGUGCUG